This 193-nucleotide unclassified non-coding RNA is filed under the name uncultured fungus. Its description in RNAcentral is "sequence contains ITS2". The record is from RNAcentral. Lineage: Eukaryota; Fungi.
UCACCCCUCAAGCCCCCGGCUUGGUGUUGGAUGGUUUGGUGACAGUGCCUGUUGGGCAACGGUCACCCCUCCCAAAGACAAUGACGGCGGCCUCGUUGGACCCCCGGUACACUGAGUUCCUUACCGAACACGUACUGGAUCAAGGGCCCACGGAGCACGGUCUGCCUCCCCUCAGGGAGAACUAUUUUCUCAA